UGGAUACGUGGAACACAUUAUGGACUCUGGAGAGUUCUGGAGGCAGUGCUAGUAUGUAGGCAGCAGUACCAAACCUGUCUAAGAUUUCAAAAAGUCCAAUAAAUCGGGGGUUUAAUUUUUCCCUCCUGUCGAACCUACUAAUUCCCUUAAAAGGAGUGACCUUAAGAAACACCCACUCGCCUUUCUCAAACGCUAGGUCUCUCCUCUGGGUAUCUUCAUAAAUCUUAUGCCUACUCUGAGCUGUCUGAAUAUUCUUUCUGAUUUUAACUAUUUUGGACGUGGUCUCCUCUACCAACUCUGGGUC
This 304-nucleotide long non-coding RNA is filed under the name Carica papaya (papaya). RNAcentral's name for it is "long non-coding RNA (CPAP_LNC000639)". Lineage: Eukaryota; Viridiplantae; Streptophyta; Magnoliopsida; Brassicales; Caricaceae. The record is from RNAcentral.